This 187-nucleotide ribosomal RNA is filed under the name uncultured bacterium. Its description in RNAcentral is "partial 16S ribosomal RNA". It matches the Rfam family "Bacterial small subunit ribosomal RNA", at positions 1313 to 1500 of the family's 1533-position model. The record is from RNAcentral.
GCCCUGCAUGAAGUCGGAAUUGCUAGUAAUCGCGGAUCAGCAUGCCGCGGUGAAUACGUUCCCGGGCCUUGUACACACCGCCCGUCACACCAUGGGAGCCGGUAAUACCCGAAGUCAGUAGUCCAACCUCGUGAGGACGCUGCCGAAGGUAGGAUUGGCGACUGGGGUGAAGUCGUAACAAGGUAUC